UCUUUGUAUAUGCGGAUCAUUAUUUUAGUAUAGAAACUGUUUAUAGAGUUCUAAUCGUUUUUAAAAGUUUAAAAGAGUAAGAAAUUGUUGCUGAAAUUAUUACCCGUUUCUUUUCUAACUGAAUAAUGAAACUAGGUUUUUUUCCGCCAAAGGUCGUACUAGGUUUAUGAUUCCAUAUGAGAAAAGAAAAUAGAUAUUAUGGAGACAAAUGAUGAACAGUUAGAAAACUUAGCUGAACCAACUUCUAUCAACGAAUUGCAAGAAUUCAUGAAGUCCAUGUAUCAUGCAGUAACUCAACUUUGCGGGUCUACAUACACUUUCAUUCUUUGUGGUUUAGAAUGGCAGCUGAAACAUUUCAUUAGUCAUCCAUAUGUGACUGACAUUCAAGAUUUCCUAAAAUCAAAAUUGUAUGUUCUAACACACGUUCGUCGAGCACAAAUCGACUCUUACCUACGCGGAUUAACAUGGCAGCUUGAAAAACUCAUUUGUCAACCUUAUGUUAACUACAUUGAGCAAUUCUUAACUGUAAAGCCGCAUUUAGUAAAUCGUGUUCGACGGCCGGAAUACGAAAACAUGUUUCAGGGAAUAGCAUGGGAGGGCAUAUUGAAAGGUGACAAACAAAAGGUCUUGUGCGUUUUGAUAACAGUGAAGUAUUUAUUUAACCGAAACGAUCAAAGCGGAAUAAAUGUGCUAAUAGAAGCUGGACUACUUGAAAAUUUAGGCAUGAUAUUAGAGUAUUUUACACGAACAGAAGAACAACUGCUUGUUUCAACUCUUCUUCCUUCAUUACUUUACUGCAUUACUACUGUAAUUGCAUUGAAAAACAACAGACAUCGGUGGUUUCAACAUAACUGCCAUCCAUUUCUUCUAUUCCUUUGUAAAGAUUACACCAAUGUAAAACACAACAGAAAGGUUGUUGAUGCAUUUAAUGAUAUCUUAAUGUCAUUGUCCACACGUAGCAUGAAGAUAGUCCAAAGUUAUAGUUGGUUAGUAGACAAUAUAAUUUUCAAAAUUCUUUUGAACCUCAAACACUUUGGUAAUCAUGAUCUCAUAGGCGGAGUAAUUGAGCAGAUAAUGCAAUUAUAUCCAAGUACGAAUUUCGAGCAAAAUAUUCUAUCCUGGAGGAAUAAUGCUGAAACCACAUUUCUUUUGAACUACAGUGAUAUUUAUAGCGAACACAAUUAUUCAGUAGUGGAAGGUGAUUUGGCGUUUAUGCAUGAUGAUACAAACAGUUCAACGAACUCCACAAAAACCAGGAAUGGUGGUGAAACUACACUUGUCUUGGAUUACGGUGAUAUUUAUACCGAACACAACUAUUCAGUUGCACAAGAAGCGAAAUGGGAGCAACAGAUGCAAAGGAAGAUGAAGCAAUCGUGGGGAAUCAGUGGGAUGAAGAUGAUGUGUUUAGAAUAGAACAAAGGCAUUACUCUGGCAGAGAAUCAAGAAAGCGUCAAAGUACGUCGGAGUCAUACGAUGCAGAUGGAAGUGAUGCAAGUGGUAAACGCAUAAGAGUAAAUAAUUUCACACAAGAUGAGACACUGCCACAAGAAUGGUCAAGAUCUAACAGAACGAAUCUAUCAGAAUCACCCUGGUUUGAAAGGCACAAUACUAAAGAUAUUGCAACAUUUGUCAAACAAGAAUUAAAGAGGUUAAGAAACCGAGCAAAGAGAAUCUCUACAUCUUCGGAAAUGAAAUGAUUAUGUUUUUAUCUAUUCAUUCAUGAAGACAUUUGUUUAGUCAUAAAACAAAAAGGGACGGAAAAUGCUGUUUAAACAAAGGGAUAUAUAUUUUUUUUUUACUUGGUAUCACAAUCCUUGAUGAACUUUAUUUAACAUUGUUUGGUUUAUAUUUUCCAUUAUGCUGUGCUAUCCUUUUUUACAUUGCAGUUGUAUUUUUGUUUCCAACAUCCCGUCUGAAGCCUUUGUUGUUUUUGAUCAAGUUUCUUUUAUUAUGGGACAAUUUUUUAUCAUUUUAUAUGAACCCUUAUGUUUGUGUGCUGUGCUAUUAUUUUACAAUGCAAUUUUGUGUUUGUUGUCCACCACAUUCAGCAUCGUGAUCUCUGUUCUCUAUGGGUAUUUUUUUGUUUUCAUAUUAUUUAGCAAUCAUACCUCUAAGUUAAAACCCUUGUGUUUAAUAAAUGCGCUUUAUCACAGUGGCUAAAUCGCUCACGAAA
Non-coding RNA from Ciona intestinalis (vase tunicate), 2173 nucleotides. The record is from RefSeq and is a predicted model, not a curated record. Lineage: Eukaryota; Metazoa; Chordata; Ascidiacea; Phlebobranchia; Cionidae.